Molecule: long non-coding RNA, 3895 nt
Organism: Octopus bimaculoides (California two-spot octopus)
Lineage: Eukaryota; Metazoa; Mollusca; Cephalopoda; Octopoda; Octopodidae
Source: RefSeq, a predicted model, not a curated record
CUUGUUUAUAACGAGCGCAAACCUCCGCCAAAGUAACACCAACGUCCUCUCAAUGAUUAGCCAGAGAUGAUUUUUAAAAUGAGAAUAUCUGAAAUAAAAUCGACUACUCUCACAAACGAGAAUACUAAAAAUGAACCUGACUGCUCUCAAACGGAAAAUAAUCCAAAUAUAUAUAUAUAGAGAGAGAGAGAUGAAAUAAUAAUACAGUGAAGGAGAAAUAGUGAGAGUAAUAGCCAUGAGUGAAAAAAUAAUGACAAAGAGAAAGACGAAACAAAAUGACAAAGAGCGUCGUAUGAAUGAAAAAGGAAGGAGUGAUACAUGAAUAACGAAGGAAGGAGGGAAAAAGCCGAUAAACGGCGUUUGAAGUGUAUAAGAGAGAGGUAUGUUUGUGUGCGUGCGUGUAUGUACAUUGGAAAUGGGAUGGUAAUGUUCAAUGCUGAAAAUGUGUGAGUAUAUGUGUGCAUGUACAAGUAAAAAGCAGGAAAAAUAAUCCAGAAUCCUUGUCCAGUACCGGAUCGAUCCCAAAAUCUAAUCAGUUCGUGACAGUCAUGAGGCCAAACAUCCAUGACAGUUUCAUCCGAAUCUAUCCAGCGGUUCUUGAGCUAUCUUGUCCACGGACAAACAAACACAACUGAAAACAAUACCCCCGCCUUUGCUAAGGCGGAGGUAAUUAAGUGAAAAUAAGUAGCUAUAACAGAUCAGGAUCUGUGGUAUAACUAAAGUUCUGGGGGGUAAAGACACUUUUGGAACCCCACCUUGAUUUACAGGAAUUUUUCAUAUAUGCACCUGAACUGAUUACUACCUUACCUAGUAGCUAUAUCUCUCACAGGCAUAGAAAUAAGUUUGGAACUUGGCUCACUGGGUAUACAAGUAAGACACACACUAAUGGUGUGACAGUCAGGGUAGUAUGUUUUGCUACAUUUCUCAACUUCAUUAUCUACACACACACAUAUAAUGGCCUCUUCCUGAUGAUGCUUUGUAACAUAAGGAGAGGCCUUGCAGACAGCCAGUUCUACUCUCUGAACAAUGAUGACAGAUAUCCUAAAAAGAACCAGUCAACAUCAUUGGCUGCAUUCUAGUCACAGUUUUACAUCAGAGUUUUCCUUCUAGAGUGAUGUCUUAAUGAGGGCUAGGGGGCACUCACUCCCAGUAAUGUGGUACACCAUGUCUACGUUCUCAUUUUCAUGGUUCUCUGCUGACUAAACUUGUGCCAGUUGAAAAUGUCUCGAUCCUCUGUACAGCCACUGUGCUUUCAGCUUCAAAGUCACCAGUUUGUCAAUGAUUGUUGCAAGAACUACUUUUGUCUAUGAGAAAUAGUAGGACCUAGCCUGUGUACACAAUAAUGGAUGGCUUGUACGCAUACUACCCUGACUGUCACACCAUAUGUAUGUAUGUCAUGUGCCUUUAACUCCUUGAUGAGUCCUUGGAGUGCCGUCAUGACAUACAUCGUGUUUGGGGCAUUUUUAGAUUUCGUAGAGCCUAUCCCUCUCCAUGUCUGACUACAGUUGGUUUCUUCGAGAAGGCGAGAAACAGACAAAAAGAAAGAGUUAGAGAACAAUCGAUCCUAAAACGAUGUGACCCCGGUGUUGUUUUGAACCUAGCGCAGCUCUUAUUAAAUUUUUGCCAACCAAAUUUUCAUAAUUUAUUUUCGAAACAUGCAGUUCUGAAAUAGUUUUGCAUGUUGAUGACGAAAAUCGCAUUUUUUUUUUCUUUUAGAUUUUAAUACAUUUAAAAAAAAAUAAUAAUCUGGCGAAAAUUUGAAAAACAUGAAAUGGUUGGAUGAAAUUUAACAAGAUCCCACAGCGCGCAAUAAUUACCACAGAAUAAGUCAUUCAAUACUCGAAUGACCGCCAACAUCGUUUAACUUUAUACUGAAUAUUCUCUUUUUUGUGUGCUUUAGGCAAGCAUACUUAAUGUCUAUAUAUGUGCGUAUAAUGUAACAAGUUGUGGAAUUCAGUGUAAUUUAUUGUGUAGUUUUUUAUGUGAUCUAUCUGGAAGUAAAAAUUACUGAAAAUUAAAGGAAUGGCAACAGGGAGUUUUAAGCAAUGAAGAUAUUAUUAUUAAAGUGGUUUUACCAAAGUUUCAUUCCAGGCAAGGAAUUCAGAAUAAUAAUGUUUCAGUUCAAACAUUAGUACAUUAAGUAUCAAGUUGAUACUUAGAAUAUUUUUACGGAUAAUUUUAAAUCAGGUUGCACUCAUUCUCAGGUACUAUGAUAUGCUUAGAGUCCAAGGGAAGUAACUCUGCGUACAAGUCUAUGCAAUUAUUUUCUUUUUGUCAUGGGUGAGAGAAAUAACAACAAAACGUUGUGUUAGGGGAAAAAACUCUGCAUGAAAUUCGGGCUAAGAUUUUUUGAAAAAUUAAACCAUCUAGCUUUGACAACUGUGGAAGACAUCAGUUCUACUUUUGAUGUCUCUUCUAUCAUUGGAAAUUAAGGAAAACAUAAAGCCUUUACAUACUGAGUUUAAAGUCGCCGAAAUCACCUUUAUUUCUCAUCGUUUCGGUGUCAGUAUAAGGAAGAUGGAAGGCAGUGAGCUGGCAGAAUCGUUAGCACGUUGGACAAAAGGCUUAGCAGCAUUUCGUCCGUUUCUACUUUCUGAGUUCAAAAUUCCGUCGCGGUCGACGUUGCCUUUCAUCCUUUCGGUGUUAAUAAAAUAAGUACCAGUGAAACACUGGGAUCGAAAUAAUCGACUUACUCCCUCACCUGAAAUUGCUGGCCUUGUACCACAAUUCGAAAUUAAUAUAAGGAAAUUCUUUUCCAUUCUAGGCACCUGGCCCGAAAUUUUGGGGGAGGGAGCCAGUCGAUUAGAUAUACCUCAGUACGCAACUGGUACUUAAUUUAUCGACCCCGAAACGAUGAAAGGCAGAGUCGACCUCGGCGGAAUUUGAACUCAGAACGUAGCGGUAGACGAAAUACCGCGAAGCAUUUCGCCCAGCGUGCUAACGUUUCUGCCAGCUCGCCGCCUUAAUUAAGAUAAGGAAAUUGGAUUAGCAGAACUGUUAAAGCGUCAAACGAAAUACCUCGCCGACGCUUUACUAUUGGAAUUCAAACCCUGCCAUAAUCAACUUUGCCAUUCACCCCCACCCCUCACCCAGGGUUGAUAAAAUAAAAUACCAAUCAAGUAUUGGCAUCGAUAAAAUCGAUUACUUCUCUUCCACAAAGUUCAGGCCUUAUUCCGACAUUAGAAACAGUUAACCCGAGUUGUUGCCCUUACUGUUGCUUGCUGUUGUUGAACAACGUUCAACAGAUGCGAAUAAAGUUUUGAUUUUAUAAAAAUUAUUGCAGCCUCCACAGUAAAAGAACUCCAUUGUCUCAGUAUUAUCGUUUUCUUCCCAAGCAAACAGAACGCUCAGAGAGGAAAGCAUUAUUAACAACUAUAUUAUUAAUUAUUAUUAUUAAUUAGUGCAAAUCUUCAACCCCGUAAGAAUGUUGUAUGUUGCAGAGAGAUAUCAACCAACUUUACAGCGAGGUGAUCAUCUUCAUUGACGCGUCCAUGAAUAGAUUUGUUAGAAAUGAAAUAUUAACUCGGAAAAAUUGUGCGGAGAAGGAGAUGUAAUAUCUCACUUUACGAAGACUCGCUUUACGAGAGCCGGGUUUACGAGUUUUAUUUUUCAAGCACAAGAUCCAAAUUUUGAACGAAAAGCAAAAUUUUCUACUACCAUAACAAAUGCUUCUACAUGUUACUGAGAAAUUUAUAGAAAGCGAAAAAAUGCGCCUCAGCAAAAUCUGUCUACGAGUGCUUGUGAAUUGGCGAUCGAUUCUACAAGUGAUGGUGUGCGCGAGACUAGUGCGAGUCAAAAUGAUUCAGAAAACGAUUAUAAUUUUUUUUUUUUUUUUUUUUAUUAUAAAUGAUCUUGAUAUUCUUUUUACUUCACAUAAAAUAUUCUUUAUAUUCUA